Molecule: ribosomal RNA, 262 nt
Filed under: uncultured bacterium
Lineage: Bacteria
Description: partial 16S ribosomal RNA
Rfam family: Bacterial small subunit ribosomal RNA
Source: RNAcentral
UACGAAGGGGGCUAGCGUUGCUCGGAAUUACUGGGCGUAAAGGGAGCGUAGGCGGGUUAUCAAGUUGGAGGUGAAAGCCCAGGGCUCAACCUUGGAAUUGCCUUCAAAACUGAUAGCCUAGAGUAUGAUAGAGGCAUGUGGAACUCCGAGUGUAGAGGUGAAAUUCGUAGAUAUUCGGAAGAACACCAGUGGCGAAGGCGACAUACUGGGUCAUGACUGACGCUGAGGCUCGGAAAGCGUGGGGAGCAAACAGGGAUUAGAU